RNAcentral lists this ribosomal RNA (253 nucleotides) under uncultured bacterium. RNAcentral's name for it is "partial 16S ribosomal RNA". It matches the Rfam family "Bacterial small subunit ribosomal RNA", at positions 524 to 776 of the family's 1533-position model. The record is from RNAcentral.
UACGAAGGGGGCUAGCGUUGCUCGGAAUCACUGGGCGUAAAGGGUGCGUAGGCGGGUCUUUAAGUCAGGGGUGAAAUCCUGGAGCUCAACUCCAGAACUGCCUUUGAUACUGGCAACCUAGAGGCUGGAAGAGGUUAGUGGAAUUCCCAGUGUAGAGGUGAAAUUCGUAGAUAUUGGGAAGAACACCAGUGGCGAAGGCGGCUAACUGGUCCAGAUCUGACGCUGAGGUGCGAAAGCGUGGGGAGCAAACAGG